RNAcentral lists this ribosomal RNA (1477 nucleotides) under Rhizobium laguerreae. RNAcentral describes it as "partial 23S ribosomal RNA". The stretch from base 187 to 1477 matches the Rfam family "Bacterial large subunit ribosomal RNA", at positions 1 to 1208 of the family's 2925-position model. Lineage: Bacteria; Pseudomonadati; Pseudomonadota; Alphaproteobacteria; Hyphomicrobiales; Rhizobiaceae. The record is from RNAcentral.
GGAUCAUAUCUCGAGAAGCUGGUCUUAAGACAGGCUGCAAGCGAGCUGCUCGGCGUAGCUCCAAUAAAGCAGACCUGUCGAACACGUUAAUGGCAUUGUUGGAUUGACUGGGUUGUAAAAGGUAACCCGGUCUGUUGCCGUUCCUUCGGAACGGGCAACGAGACGAUGAGCAUUGGCAAUGAGAACGAUUAAGUGUCGUAAGGGCAUUUGGUGGAUGCCUUGGCAUGCACAGGCGAUGAAGGACGUGAUACGCUGCGAAAAGCCGUGGGGAGCUGCGAAUGAGCUUUGAUCCAUGGAUCUCCGAAUGGGGCAACCCACCUUAAAUGCUUGGGAAAUCGAGCGUGCCGUUGGCACGAAAGUGAGUAGGAAUUAGUGAUUAGUGAGCAGUGAAAACUACUCACUACCGACUGAUCACUACUCACUGCGCGUCAAGGACGCGCUCGGUUUCCAAGCAUUGUGAUAAGGUAUCUACACCUGAAUACAUAGGGUGUAAGAAGCGAACGCAGGGAACUGAAACAUCUAAGUACCUGCAGGAAAGGACAUCAACCGAGACUCCGCAAGUAGUGGCGAGCGAACGCGGACCAGGCCAGUGGCAAUUGUGAUUAAAGUGGAACGCUCUGGAAAGUGCGGCCGUAGUGGGUGACAGCCCCGUACGCGUAGAUAUCAUGAUUGUCCUAGAGUAGGGCGGGACACGAGAAAUCCUGUCUGAACAUGGGGAGACCACUCUCCAAGCCUAAGUACUCGUGCAUGACCGAUAGCGAACAAGUACCGUGAGGGAAAGGUGAAAAGCACCCCGACAAGGGGAGUGAAAUAGAACCUGAAACCGGAUGCCUACAAACAGUCGGAGCCCGCAAGGGUGACGGCGUACCUUUUGUAUAAUGGGUCAACGACUUAGUGUAACAAGCAAGCUUAAGCCGGUAGGUGUAGGCGAAGCGAAAGCGAGUCUGAAUAGGGCGAUAUAGUUUGUUGCAUUAGACCCGAAACCGAGUGAUCUAGCCAUGAGCAGGUUGAAGGUUGGGUAACACCAACUGGAGGACCGAACCCGCAUCUGUUGCAAUAGAUUGGGAUGACUUGUGGCUAGGGGUGAAAGGCCAAUCAAACUCGGAAAUAGCUGGUUCUCCGCGAAAUCUAUUUAGGUAGAGCGUCGAGCGAAUACCCCCGGGGGUAGAGCACUGGAUGGGCUAUGGGGACUCACCGUCUUACUGAUCCUAACCAAACUCCGAAUACCGGGGAGUACUACUCGGCAGACACACGGCGGGUGCUAACGUCCGUCGUGAAAAGGGCAACAACCCUAACCUCCAGCUAAGGUCCCCAAGUCAUGGCUAAGUGGGAAAGGAUGUGAGGAUCCCAAAACAACCAGGAUGUUGGCUUAGAAGCAGCCAUCAUUUAAAGAAAGCGUAACAGCUCACUGGUCUAAAUAAGGGUCUUUGCGCCGAAAAUGUAACGGGGCUGAAGCCAUGCACCGAAGCUGAGGAUU